CAGUCGCCACGGUAAUACGUAGGUCCCGAGCGUUGUCCGGAUUUACUGGGCGUAAAGCGUGCGCAGGCGGCCCGUUAAGGCAGGUGUGAAAUCCCUGGGCUCAACCUAGGAAUUGCGCUUGUGACUGGCGGGCUCGAGUACGGUAGAGGGGGGUGGAAUUCCUGGUGUAGCAGUGAAAUGCGUAGAGAUCAGGAGGAACACCGAUGGCGAAGGCAGCCCCCUGGGCCUGUACUGACGCUCAUGCACGAAAGCGUGGGGAGCAAACAGGAUUAGAUACCCCUGUAGUCCCUGUCUCUUAUAC
This 301-nucleotide ribosomal RNA is filed under the name uncultured bacterium. Its description in RNAcentral is "partial 16S ribosomal RNA". It matches the Rfam family "Bacterial small subunit ribosomal RNA", at positions 509 to 807 of the family's 1533-position model. The record is from RNAcentral.